GUCUCGCUGUAUUGCUCAGGCUGCACUGCAGUGUCUAUUCUCAGGUGCGAUCCCACUACUGAUCGGCACGGGGGCUUUGACCUGCUCCGUCUCCGACCUGGGCCGGUUCACCCCUCCUUAGACGACCUGGUGGUCCCGAGUUCCCCCAGUAGCACCAUAUCGAUACCGAACUUAGUGCGGACACCCGAUCGACAUAGUCCACUGCAGCCCAGAAGCCCUGAGCUCAAGCGAUCCGCCAGCCUCAGCCUCCCAGUAGCUUGGAUUACAGGCUCCGCCACUGAACCCGGCGAGAGCCAAGCGUCUCAGCGCUGCUGCUCAACCUGCUGCUCAUAGCGCCCUCUAGUGCAGAUAAACACAACACUACACUCACAUUAGCUGCCUGAGCAGAGCCAACUAGAACUGAAAUCGGAGGAAUUGUAUUCCAUGUGGAAAGAGAGGAGCUCCAGUAUGCUCAGAGAAAGCUUGUGAGAAAUAAUAACUAAAGACUGAAAGUUCAAUGACAACGCCAGGUCGACCUGAAGAGGAUGACAGGCAGCGGACGAAAACAGCCAGAUGUGCCUAAACUAAAUAAACAUCAUCAUCUGGCCACACUUUUGACAGUAUUGUGCACUGAAGUGAGGGACUACAGGGAUGGAGUAUUAAGAAUUAUU
Long non-coding RNA from Onychostoma macrolepis, 650 nucleotides. RefSeq lists it as uncharacterized. Lineage: Eukaryota; Metazoa; Chordata; Actinopteri; Cypriniformes; Cyprinidae. The transcript has 3 exons. The record is from RefSeq and is a predicted model, not a curated record.